This 329-nucleotide ribosomal RNA is filed under the name uncultured bacterium. RNAcentral's name for it is "bacterial SSU rRNA". It matches the Rfam family "Bacterial small subunit ribosomal RNA", at positions 28 to 334 of the family's 1533-position model. The record is from RNAcentral.
GAUGAACGCUGGCGGCGUGCUUAACACAUGCAAGUCGAACGAAGAGGGUUAGAAUGAGAGCUUCGGCAGGAUUUCUUUCCAUCUUAGUGGCGGACGGGUGAGUAACGUGUGGGCAACCCUGCCCUGUACUGGGGAAUAAUCAUUGGAAACGAUGACUAAUACCGCAUGUGGUUCUCGGAAGGCAUCUUCUGUAGGAAGAAAGGAUUUAUUCGGUACAGGAUGGGCCCGCAUCUGAUUAGCUAGUUGGUGAGAUAACAGCCCACCAAGGCGACGAUCAGUAGCCGACCUGAGAGGGUGAUCGGCCACAUUGGGACUGAGACACGGCCCAA